UGGGAUUUAGCUCAGCGGCGUAAGCACCUGCCUUGCAAGCAGGUGGUCGUGAGUUCGAUUCCUGGUACCAG
This 71-nucleotide transfer RNA is filed under the name Cavia porcellus (domestic guinea pig). The record is from Rfam by way of RNAcentral. Lineage: Eukaryota; Metazoa; Chordata; Mammalia; Rodentia; Caviidae.